Long non-coding RNA from Taeniopygia guttata (zebra finch), 1555 nucleotides. The record is from Ensembl. Lineage: Eukaryota; Metazoa; Chordata; Aves; Passeriformes; Estrildidae.
AAUCAAAGGGCUGAUUGCAGCAUGUGCACGCAGUCAAAUAACUCCCCUCAGCGUUCCUGGGGCUCCAGCACAGUGAGGGGACACCACCUGCAGCUGGCUCUGUUCCCCAGCUGGGUGACAUUUCCUGUCUGGCAGCUCUCCUGCUCCCCUUGUAGGGUGUGGGAUCCCUCGUGGCUGUGGGGUGUUCCUGGUGUGGGAUCCCUCGUGGCUGUGGGAUGUUGCUGCCCCUGGAUCCCUCAUGGCUGAGGACAGCAGCCAUAUCUCUGUGAGGGCAGGAGCCAGUUCUGCCACUGCAAAGCAGCCCAGAGAGACUGAUUCCUGAGUCCAACGAUCCUGCACUGACAGCACCACUGAUAAACCCCGGGAAGAGGCAGGAUGAGCCGUUGGAAGCGCUCCCUCCCCGGCCACUGAAGGGCUGCCUCCCAGAAGAUGGAGCUAUUUCCCUGAUACAGCUGAUGGAGACCUUGCUCCCAAAGUUCAUAUUCUGAACUGGAGGGAUCCUGGCAAAGUGGUUCCUGUGGUGCUCCGUGGCGUGGCAGAGCCAGGGCUGUCACCCCCACGUGCAGACAUUACCAGCCUGCACCAGCCUCUGGGCUUUCAGCUGGAGUGAAGAAACUGGACAGGAAUGCCAGACCUCAUGCAAAUCAUGUUAGGGUGUUCUGGAGCAGCACUGGUGCCUCUGCCCCGACACUGCAGCUGCCAGGGGGUUGUCCCUCACUGCCCCUCACUGUUCCUGCUCCAUCCGGAGCGUUUCCACCUGUGCUGAGCAGGACGUGGUGCUGUCAGGGAGACAAGAAUCCUGACCAGCUCCCUGUGCCAUGGUUCCCACCUGAAAGAGUAUCAGGAAUGUUCUUACAUCCUUUUCCCUGAAAGCACAUUCUGAGUGUUGGAUGCUGAUUUGGUCCCACAGCUCCUGAGAGACCAGUUCUUUCUGGGAAUAUCCACAUGGACACAUCCAGUGUGAAGAAAAAAGCAUAGUCUGGCUCCUCAGGUUGGGGAGAGGCUGGUUCACAAGUAACCAUGGCAACCAGGCUGUCACUGGGAGCAUCAAGACAUUUUCAUACCAAAAAUAAAAAAGCCCAAACACACAACAGACAUUCCUUCUCCAGCCAAUUUGGAGAUCCUAUCAUCAGUUGUGUUCCUCAGGGAUGCUGGCAGCAGCGGCAGAAUUCCCCUUUCCAGUCCUUGUGGAGCUGUCCAGCUGCCAGAUCUGUUACAGCAGCCAAAUGACCUGCACAUACCUGCUGUUAUUCCUUACCAUGGACUCUGAGGGAAAGGUGGGAGCACUGAGAACAGUCCUGAGCUUCCAUUGAAUUUUAGAGCUGAUUACAGAGAUUCCCAUUUCUCUGAAGGAAGAGUGUGUCAUCCUUGGUGUUCUGCCAGGUUCUGUUUAAUUGCUCUUUAUUAAGAGCAGCCCCAGGCACUAGAUAAUCCAUACGGAGACUACAAUCCAUCCUGACCGAGCUGCAUCCCACAGCUUGGGAGGAACCUGCUGCAAGGCUCAGCCAGUUCUUUUCCCUGGCAGAGGUGGAUAUGGCACUGGGAAGAGCAGUGG